AAAAAAAUUGUUUGAUAAUGAGUUCAAUUUAAAUUUAAAAAAAAAAUAAUAUUAGUUCUCGCACAAUUAAUAUCAGUUCUCUUAUCUAUUAAAAUUUAGAAUAUUUUCCAACAAUUAUGUCACCUCCAUGAAUAUAAAGGGGAAAGGUGGAAAUAUGCUUUAAGAGCACUAAUUUAUACGGUGUAGUGAAAGUUCAUGUAAUUUUUUCAAAAUCGAAUAUGCGGAAAGGAGCUGUUUGGAAUGAAGAUUUACAAAAAGAAGUAAUUCCAUCUAAUUGGAUUAGUGUUAAAACUGUCGGCUUCCAGGUACCAAAACAUUGACUGCACUAAAAUGCAGAGAAGAAUUGGCUAAAGUUUAUACAAAUAAAAACUAAAUUCUCUUAAGAGUAUUUUCAAAAAGUUAUAUGGCCUCCAUGGAUAUGAAGGGCA
Long non-coding RNA from Hydra vulgaris (swiftwater hydra), 428 nucleotides. RefSeq lists it as uncharacterized. The record is from RefSeq and is a predicted model, not a curated record. Lineage: Eukaryota; Metazoa; Cnidaria; Hydrozoa; Anthoathecata; Hydridae.